UAGUUGUUUGAUCAUGGCUCAGCCUUUGACUUAAAAAAAUGGAGAAGUCGUAACAAGGUAGCCGUAAGUCGUAACAAGGUAACCGUAGAGUUUGAUCAUGGCUCAGGAAAGUCGUAACAAGUAGCCGUAAAGUUUGAUCCUGGCUCAGGCAAGACUUAAAAAUGGAACUCGUAACAAGGUAACUGUAUGUCGAAACAAGGUAACCGGAAACUUUGAUCAUGGAUCAUGCUUUGACUUAAAAAAAUGGAAAAUGCAUAACACGGUACCCGGAAAUCUGAAUUCUGAAACCAGCUACUCGAGCCUAGAGUAGCUGUAA
RNAcentral lists this ribosomal RNA (316 nucleotides) under uncultured bacterium. RNAcentral's name for it is "partial 16S ribosomal RNA". The record is from RNAcentral.